RNAcentral lists this transfer RNA (87 nucleotides) under Candidatus Cloacimonadota bacterium. Its description in RNAcentral is "tRNA-Leu". It matches the Rfam family "tRNA". From Rfam's summary of the family: Transfer RNA (tRNA) molecules are approximately 80 nucleotides in length. Their secondary structure includes four short double-helical elements and three loops (D, anti-codon, and T loops). Further hydrogen bonds mediate the characteristic L-shaped molecular structure. tRNAs have two regions of fundamental functional importance: the anti-codon, which is responsible for specific mRNA codon recognition, and the 3' end, to which the tRNAs corresponding amino acid is attached (by aminoacyl-tRNA synthetases). tRNAs cope with the degeneracy of the genetic code in two manners: having more than one tRNA (with a specific anti-codon) for a particular amino acid; and 'wobble' base-pairing, i.e. permitting non-standard base-pairing at the 3rd anti-codon position. Lineage: Bacteria; Pseudomonadati; Candidatus Cloacimonadota. The record is from RNAcentral. RNAcentral also lists the same sequence under 2 other names.
GCCGGAGUGGUGGAAUUGGUAGACACAAGGGACUUAAAAUCCCUCGGGCUUCGGCUCGUGCCGGUUCAAGUCCGGCCUCUGGUACCA